UUCAACGGGAUUUCUUAGCAUCGUAGUAAUGUGAGAUUUUGCAAUACUAAAGGAGUACGGUGCAAUUUUUGUCAAUAAUAUCAUAUGAAUUUUUCCCUACUCCGAUCUUACCAUCACGUGUUUCGUCGCAAUUAACGCGUGUUAGAGGGAUUGUCACGAGGAUCGACUCAGUGGCUGAGAUGAUAUGAUGGGAUGCCCUCAAAGGAUUGAUGACAUUAUGAACACAUGUACUUAUGCACGACACGAUAUUCAUACAGAUAUGCAUGCCACUCUAAGUAUUUCAUUAUUUACAGAGUUGUCCAGACUUACAGGUACCGAUAGACAAGUCGAAACCCUCCAAGUAGGUUAUCAGCUCAGCGGAAGAUGUUGGUCCGCUCCAUUUGCUUAAGAGUUGCUUGUUUGACUAGUAUGAUUUAGACGUAUAUUGUUUGGUAUGGCAGGACUCUGUCCCGACCUUUAUUAAAAUUAUGUAUUCUUAGAGGCCUGUAAACAGAUGCCAUAUACGUAAAAGAUUGUAUGGCCUUGUCGUCCUAUGUUUGGUGUACGUGUGGCUAUUUUGCUCUUCUGAGGCCGUAUGUCUUGUGUAUUAGUUGGUAUCACAUGUUAUAUUCUACUUAUC
Nicotiana tabacum (common tobacco) is the source of this 619-nucleotide non-coding RNA. Lineage: Eukaryota; Viridiplantae; Streptophyta; Magnoliopsida; Solanales; Solanaceae. The record is from RefSeq and is a predicted model, not a curated record.